Molecule: ribosomal RNA, 447 nt
Filed under: uncultured bacterium
Lineage: Bacteria
Description: partial 16S ribosomal RNA
Rfam family: Bacterial small subunit ribosomal RNA
Source: RNAcentral
AACGAACGCUGGCGGCAUGCCUAACACAUGCAAGUCGAACGAUGCCUUCGGGGAUAGUGGCGCACGGGUGCGUAACGCGUGGGAAUCUGCCCUUAGCCUCGGAAUCACAGUUAGAAAUGACAACUAAUACCGGAGGAUGUCCACAUGAGAGAUCUUGUGGGACAAAGAUUUAUCGGCCAGGGAUGAGAACGCGUAGGAUUAAUGAGCUGGUGGAGUAAUGGCCUACCAAGCCGAAGAUUCAUAGCUGAUCUGAGAGCAUGAACAGCCACAAUGGGACUGAGACACGGACCAGAAUCCAACUGGAAGCAGCAGUGGGGAAUAUUAGACAAUGGGGGGAACUCUGAGAAAGCAAUGCCGCGUGAGUGAUGAAGGGCUUAGGGUUGUAAAGCUCUUUUAGCAGGGAUGAUAAUGACAGUACCUUGAGAAUAAGCCCCGGCUAACUCCGUG